GAUGAACGCUGGCGGCGUGCCUAACACAUGCAAGUCGAACGGAAAGAUGAGGCGCUUGUUCGUUUGACGUUCGCGGCGCGGGGGUGUGUGACAUGUGUAUAACCCACCUCUAUGACGGGGAAAAACUCGGGAAAACGGCACAUAUCACGGAUAAUCUCUUGAAGCCCAUGGUGGGUUAGUUAAGGGCGGCUUUCCUGCGACUACUCGCAGAUUCCGCGCGGGAUUAGCUAGUGGGUAGGGUAACGGCUUACCAAGGCAACGAUGCGUAGGCGAGCUGAGAGGGUGAUCGGCCACACUGGAACUGAGACACGGUCCAGACUCCUACGGGAGGCAGCAGUAGGGAAUCUUCCGCAAUGGGCGAAAGCCUGACGCAGCAACGCCGCGUGUGUGAUGAAGGCCUUCGGAUCGUGAAGCUCUGUUAUUAGGGAAGAACAAAUUUGUAAUUAAACAUGCACUUAUUGACGGUACCUGAUCAAGAAGCAACGGCUAACUACGUG
Molecule: ribosomal RNA, 497 nt
Filed under: uncultured bacterium
Lineage: Bacteria
Description: partial 16S ribosomal RNA
Rfam family: Bacterial small subunit ribosomal RNA
Source: RNAcentral